CCACUUGGACAAUAUUUACUUAAGUAUUUCCCCCCACCUCACUCACACACAUGCUCCCCCACACUGGUUCCCUUAAAUAGUUCCAGUAGAAUUUUUUUUCCCUUAAGAAAGGAAAGAGAAAGUCCAACCACUACGGCAAUACUUUUAAGCUCUACUAAAUGACGGUAUCCUUUCUGGCUUCGAAACUUUUGUACCUAAAAAUCGAGAGAGGCGCUGCAUUUUUUCAGUUGAAACUGUCAAAACUUGGAGAAGGGGAACCUCGGAGGCAGGCAGGAGAGGAGAAUCCUGAAAACUCGGUGGAGGUUGGGAAGAUGCUGUGCCUCGAGGAUUAGUUUAAACAGGGGGCUAUAAAAGAUGUAACAGAUGCAAACUGUAACACAAGGGCCAUUAACCCUUUCUCUGCCGGGCACACUCAGUCCCCACGCCCCGCACCUAUUGUCUCCUGUGCUAGAAGCUUUGCAGAAAACCUGGAAAUUUUGGCCAGAAAUGGUGAGAAGAAAAAGCAUGAAGAAGCCGCGAAGUGUGGGGGAGAAAAAGGUGGAAGCGAAGAAACAGCUCCCGGAGCAAACUGUACAAAAACCUCGCCAAGAGUGUCGGGAGGCAGGACCGUUAUUCCUGCAGAGCAGGAGAGAGACGAGAGACCCUGAAACACGCGCCACCUAUCUUUGUGGGGAGGGAUAAUUGAAGCGCCCUGAGCGUGAGCAUCAUGUGAAAACGUGAUCGCCAAGUUUCUCUCUGGGAAAGGAUCUGGGAUAGAUUAUACCUUGAAGUCUCCGCAAACGCUUUAGUGGAAGAAAUGAAAUUCCACCUCCCUCCCUUCCUCCUCUCCCUCCCUUUCGCCUUCGCCUCCCUCCCCCUCCCUCCCUUCUCCCCCCACUCCACCCCCCCCUCCCCGCCCGUCAAGCCUUUGGCAUCAUUAUCCUCAUCACUAAAUCCUACAGAGUACAGGGCGGAAAACGGUGCACACCAUUCACAGAACUGGAGAACUCCAAGGGGCGAAAGUUAAAGGGAAAGAUCCCGGGUCCUCAAUCCAGAUAGUCUCUUCUUAUAUAGAUAUCUCUAAUGACCAGAUUUGAGAUGCACAUCAAAUUGUGUAGCUAUCUCAGUACAGCUUCUGGAACAAAAUUCUCUGCCCUUUCUCUUAUUAUUAUUAUUUUCUUUUUAGGUACCAGAGCCAGAAAAAAAAAAAUGCUACAUGGGAGCUGCAUCUUAGGGCAUGUGUAUUAGGGUGUGUGCAUGAUGAAUUUCUGGACUGGAUCCCAAUAUUAAAAAGUAGUUUGGCAUUUUAAUAAAGGGUCUCUAAGUAAAUUAACAUAGAA
RNAcentral lists this antisense RNA (1319 nucleotides) under Pongo abelii (Sumatran orangutan). The stretch from base 346 to 473 matches the Rfam family "ZEB2 antisense RNA 1 conserved region 1". Lineage: Eukaryota; Metazoa; Chordata; Mammalia; Primates; Hominidae. The record is from RNAcentral.